RNAcentral lists this non-coding RNA (46 nucleotides) under Trichobilharzia regenti. Lineage: Eukaryota; Metazoa; Platyhelminthes; Trematoda; Strigeidida; Schistosomatidae. The record is from RNAcentral.
GUAGUGUUGAAGAGUCCCAAACUAGGACGAAACAGCUGUCCAGUAC